CACAGAUGGUCAUUACUUUCAUCAUCAUCAUCAUCAUCAUCAUCAUCAUCAUCACCAUCAUGAUUCCUCUGACAAAAGCUCCUUCCUUUACAACCCAAAUAAGAAGCUGGGAAUAAAUCCCGGUGUCAUAUCACAAGAUAUAAUACUGCCUGCACUACACUAAACAGCCACUCUCAGGUUUCAUCAGAAGAUCCUCCGGAGAAUGACUGCCUUCCAAAUGUUUGGGCACCUGUGACCUUGGACUCUUUGGGACAACAAGCCCUGGAUUCAUUAAUACUUUAUUGGACGCUAAUCAAACAAUUUCAAAUGCUAAAAAUAUUUGAAAGGACACAAGACUAAGAACACAAAAAAAUGUUUGUGAAUUACGGUGGAGAUUACAUUACACAGUCGUUUUGACUUUGGGAAAGAGCCAGAAGUCACCUGGCACCAGAUCCAGUGAACAAGGUAUAACACACCAUACAGUUCCUAGGAACCUGCUUCCCUUCGUAUGCAACUCAGCAGCAGCAGUCACAAUAUUUUUGAUUACACGUUGCAAAGACACUCACCGAUACGACUUCUGGAAAUGCUUCAGAAAGUGGCAAGAACAAUGGGACAGUUUUGUUUGAAGUGAGAGGGAGUAUUGUGACUGGGAUUUACGGCAAUGCGUCUCUUGCCAUAAUAAAAUUUUUAAAAAUUGAAA
Long non-coding RNA from Chinchilla lanigera (long-tailed chinchilla), 679 nucleotides. RefSeq lists it as uncharacterized. Lineage: Eukaryota; Metazoa; Chordata; Mammalia; Rodentia; Chinchillidae. The record is from RefSeq and is a predicted model, not a curated record. The transcript is spliced from 4 exons.